UACGUAGGGUGCAAGCGUUAUCCGGAAUUAUUGGGCGUAAAGAGCUCGUAGGCGGUUUGUCGCGUCUGCUGUGAAAACUGGAGGCUCAACCUCCAGCCUGCAGUGGGUACGGGCAAACUAGAGUGCGGUAGGGGGAGAUUGGAAUUCCUGGUGUAGCGGUGGAAUGCGUAGAGAUCGGGAGGAACACCAGUGGCGAAGGCGACACGCUGGGCCGUACCUGACACUGAUGCGCGACAGCAUGGGGGAGCAAACAGG
RNAcentral lists this ribosomal RNA (255 nucleotides) under uncultured bacterium. RNAcentral describes it as "partial 16S ribosomal RNA". It matches the Rfam family "Bacterial small subunit ribosomal RNA", at positions 524 to 776 of the family's 1533-position model. The record is from RNAcentral.